Molecule: non-coding RNA, 109 nt
Organism: Acanthosepion pharaonis
Lineage: Eukaryota; Metazoa; Mollusca; Cephalopoda; Sepiida; Sepiidae
Source: the annotation of a GenBank genome assembly
UUACGGCCACAUCACGUUGAAACACAGGUUCCCGUACGAUCACCAAAGUUAAGCAACGUCGAGCCUGAUCAGUACUUAGAUGGGUAACCGCUUAGUCAUAAAAGGUGAU